This 3276-nucleotide long non-coding RNA is filed under the name Homo sapiens (human). RNAcentral describes it as "HSALNT0400278". The record is from RNAcentral. Lineage: Eukaryota; Metazoa; Chordata; Mammalia; Primates; Hominidae.
GAAAAAUGUGAAGUGAUGUCUGUGGCUUUGUAUUAUAAGGUUCCACAUUUUCCCAAAUGUAUGAGCCUCUAACCUAAGACAUGUCCAAAAGUUCUUUACUUACAGGGACAUGAUCUAGGGGCUUAGAGGGCCCUGGAAAAGUAAGAUAAUAUAUUUUAAAGACCCAAUUUUACACAAAAGAACAAAAAGAGGAAGAACUAUAGCAGAAUGCCACUGCUGUGGAUUCAGACUUCACCUCCCUGCCCACGGAGAUGAUUGAAGGGGAAAAAGGACAGAACAUGAAACUAACAAGCUUGAGGCCUUAUCAGUGUCUAUAUUGGCAAAUUGAGGAGCGAUGCACUCCCCAAGGCUGAAUGUUUUUCUACCAAUGCAUAAGAUCUACCAGCCACAGACAGGCACUGUUUUUAGAUGGUCUUGAGGCAUCUCAUUUUACAAAGGAUAUAGAAACAGACGGAUGCUAUAUAGAAACUGGUGGAGUGGGGUGGAAGAGAAGACAGAAGACAAGGGUUAUAAUUUAAUCAUAUAAACUCUGGAUGCAAUAACCAAGGUCUCCCCAGAAAGCUGUCAGUGUAUACUUGUGUGGUGAGUAGAUUUCUAAUCAGCUCUAGAAGGGUGGCCAAACACAGCUAAACUGUGUCUUUUAGUAGCAGGAAAAGCAUCUGCUAUAGUUUAGAUGUUUGUCCCCCAAACUCCAUAUUGAAAUUUGACCCCCAAUAUUGGAUGGGGGCCUAAGGGGAGGUGUUUGGAUCCUGAGGACAGAUCCCUCAUGAAUGUCUUGGUACUGUCCUCACAGUGAAGAGUGAGUUCUCACACUAUCAGCUCCCUUGAGAAACUGGUUGUCAAAACAAGCCUGGCACUCCCCAUCCCCUCACCACGUGGUCUCUGCACACACGAGCUUCCAUUCACUUUUCAUCAUGUAUGGAACCAACCCGAGGACCUCAUUGGAAAGAGAGUGGAUGCUGGCACCAUGCUUCUUGUUCAGCCUGCAGAACUGGGAGACAACAUAAACCUCUUUCCUUUAUAACUUACCCAGACUUGAGUAUUUCUUUGUAGCAAUACAAACAGACAAAGCAUCUGACAAGCAAGUUGUUCAAUGAAGAGAUUGUUAGAGCCUGGGGAAGAGUCAUCAUGUUCAAUUGGUACAAGAUGCAAUUAACUAAUAUGAUUUGGGACAGCUGUCUCCAUUGAGGUCACCAGGGUGUCAUGGAGUGAAGCUUCAGGAGGAAGAGCUGACUACUUCCUACCCUGGGCUCCAUUUUUGUCAGGGCUCUACAGAGAGACAGAACUGACAAGAUAUAAAGAGAGGAAUAAAACAAAAAUCCAGAUAUUUCUAUAAAUCCGAUUAUUUGCCAAAUUAAAUGUGAAAGCUUGCCUCUAUCUCUUUCCAUUGUGUGCAGAUAUUUUGCACAGUGUGGAUUUGGUCUCUAGGUGUGAGUGUGCCCUGGACACAAUGCAUAGUAGACAGACAUUGUGCUUCGUUGUAGACACUGUGCUAGGCACGUAUUACACAUUGCCCCAAAUCCUUAUCACAAACACAUCAGGAGUAUGAUGGCCAAGGAGGAAGCUGUGGCUCAGCCCAUUGAGGCUGUAUAUCCAGGGAUCAACAGCCAGUAAGUGGGUGUGCUGACUCCCAAGGCCAAAGCCCACCUACUUGCCAGGUAACUUUCUAGGGAUAUGAAGGCAUUCUAUGUUAUGAUGGUGUGUGUUACAUGAGUGUAUCUGUCUACCAAAAGUGUGCUUCCAUGAUUUAUGCAAUCAGAUAUGGGAUAUAAUGGUAACUCAUGUUUUUACCCAAGGAUUUUUUCAUCACCAUAAAACAUCACUUCUACUCAGCUUUAUUCUAAUGAUUUGAGGCAGAGUUUAAAAAUCUGUCAAAAUUAAAUAUAUUUUUAACAAAGUGAAGACAUCUAGACAAACAGACAAUGGGGUAGGAAAGAUGGAGCUAAAACCAGGGCUGAGUUUCAUUCACAGAUGGCUCGAGGUCCUACUCAAUUACUAGAAAUGGGCUAAAUAUUCACCUCUAAGCUUUCCAAUAAGCAACACAGUAGGAACAAUAUCAACGCAAUAGGCCUCAGAGUCCAUGAGAAAUAAACUAAACAGUUGCUUAGGGAAAGCAGAGCUAUUUCUGGUAAGAAAUUCAGAGAGAGUUUUCCUUUGAGUCUUCAUAAAGAAGACACUCUUCGAUGUAGGGCGCAGCAUUAACUACAUUCUUAUGCAAGUUGUAAAGGCUAAAUCUCAUAAAAUAUUUUAAUAUAGGCCAUAACACCAAGCAGCAAAAAUAGAGAACUAGAGGAUGGGGAGAUGGAAUUUGCUGUGUUUGGAAAUUAAUACGAUUAUUGGUUUUCUGUGUUCUCACUUAAUCCAGGGUUUUAAGGAAUCUAGAGAAAAAUCAGGAUUGAUGUUUUUCAUUAGUGCGUUUUCUUACAACUAAAGCUCUUGAACGCUCUGGGUGGUGGGGAGUUUGGGUUGCACUUGGCUUGUGAUGAGUUUCCCAGGGAGAUGCACUUCUCAGCUGGACCACCUGAGCACACCACCAGGAAAAGCUUUUGGGUAACCCCGGAGGCAGGAAAAUUUCCUAUGGGUGCUUUAUUCAGCUGUAGUCCUAUAAUCAGCCUUUCACAUAAUUUGAUAGAACUGACCAAUGUGAAAUGAAACUGUUAAUAAGAUCCCAAACUCUCCAGAGAAGAGGACUCUCUAUGGCUAGUAGAAACACCCAAAUUAAAAUAAUGGAAACCCAAUGGCCAUAGUUAGAGAAGGGUGGUCACGUGCCUUUUGUUUCUGAAGAGGGCAGUUCCAAACAAACAUGCUGUCUGUGCCUCUGAGCUAAGACAGUUCUUGUAAAGGGAGCUGAGGCACCAUGGCUGGAAAUCUCCUCCAACCAGCCUGAAAGGGCAUCCAAUAGACACUUAUGGUUUGGGGUUUAGAAAGUACCCAGUCAAGACUGUUAUUUUCAACCAAUCAGAAUUGAAUGUGUUCAAAUCAUUCAUUUACAUAUACAGACCUGAUUGAAGACUGUGACAGGAAUUUUCUUUAUUUAAGCCAGACCCUUUCUUUGUUCUCCAGAAUGUGCUUUUGUUUUCCACCAAAGCCUGUGUCUUCCCGAUACCUAGAUUGUUUUCUAUUUAAUAAAAAAUAAAGUUCUCAACUUUUCCUCCACAGAUCUCAUGGUUUUUUGUUAGCACCUCAAAUAGAUGUGUAUAAAGGUGGAAAAAGCAAAUUUCCAGUGCGUUAGCUGGGGUUAAAGUCUCUGUUUUCACGCGUCGGAUUUGGGCUUCA